RNAcentral lists this ribosomal RNA (910 nucleotides) under uncultured bacterium. RNAcentral's name for it is "bacterial SSU rRNA". It matches the Rfam family "Bacterial small subunit ribosomal RNA", at positions 8 to 916 of the family's 1533-position model. The record is from RNAcentral.
AGAGUUUGAUCAUGGCUCAGGAUGAACGCUAGCGGCAGGCUUAACACAUGCAAGUCGAGGGGCAGCAUGUCCAGCAAUGGAUGAUGGCGACCGGCGGAAGGGUGCGUAACGCGUGAGCAACAUGCCCUAUACAGGGAGAUACACCAGGGAAACUUGGUCUAAUAUCCCAUAGCAUUCAUUGAAGGCAUCUUUAAUGAAUUAAAGCUUCGGUGGUAUAGGAUUGGCUCGCGUGACAUUAGCCAGAUGGUGAGGUAACGGCUCACCAUAGCAAUGAUGUCUAGGGGUUUUGAGAGGAAGGCCCCCCACACUGGGACUGAGACACGGCCCAGACUCCUACGGGAGGCAGCAGUGAGGAAUAUUGGACAAUGGAUGGAAAUCUGAUCCAGCCAUGCCGCGUGCAGGAAGACGGCCUUAUGGGUUGUAAACUGCUUUUAUACGGGAGCAAUAAGGGUUACGAGUAAUCCGAUGAGAGUACUGUAUGAAUAAGGAUCGGCUAACUCCGUGCCAGCAGCCGCGGUAAUACGGAGGAUCCGAGCGUUAUCCGGAAUUAUUGGGUUUAAAGGGUGCGUAGGCGGCCAUUUAAGUCAGCGGUGAAAUUUUGCAGCUUAACUGUAACAGUGCCGUUGAUACUGUUUGGCUAGGAUUUGGUUGUAGUGUGCGGAAUGUGUGGUGUAGCGGUGAAAUGCUUAGAUAUCACACAGAACACCGAUUGCGAAGGCAGCACACUAAGUCAUUAUUGACGCUGAGGCACGAAAGUGUGGGGAUCAAACAGGAUUAGAUACCCUGGUAGUCCACGCUGUAAACGAUGAGUGCUAGGUGUUGGGGGUCGAACCUCAGUGCCGCAGUAAACGCAUUAAGCACUCCGCCUGGGGAGUACGGUCGCAAGACUGAAACUCAAAUGAAUUGACGG